This 465-nucleotide ribosomal RNA is filed under the name uncultured bacterium. RNAcentral's name for it is "bacterial SSU rRNA". It matches the Rfam family "Bacterial small subunit ribosomal RNA", at positions 338 to 795 of the family's 1533-position model. The record is from RNAcentral.
CCUACGGGCUGCAGCAGUGGGGAAUAUUGCACAAUGGGCGCAAGCCUGAUGCAGCCAUGCCGCGUGUGUGAAGAAGGCCUUCGGGUUGUAAAGCACUUUCAGCGGGGAGGAAGGCGGUGAGGUUAAUAACCUCAUCGAUUGACGUUACCCGCAGAAGAAGCACCGGCCAACUCCGUGCCAGCAGCCGCGGUAAUACGGAGGGUGCAAGCGAUAAUCGGAAUUACUGGGCGUAAAGCGCACGCAGGCGGUCUGUCAAGUCGGACGUGAAAUCCCCGGGCUCAACCUGGGAACUGCAUUCGAAACUGGCAGGCUAGAGUCUUGUAGAGGGGGGUAGAAUUCCAGGUGUAGCGGUGAAAAGUGUAGAGAUCUGGAGGAAUACCGGUGGCGAAGGCGGCCCCCUGGACAAAGUCUGACGCUCAGGUGCGAAAGCGUGGGGAGCAAACAGGAUUAGAUACCCCGGUAGUC